Molecule: ribosomal RNA, 440 nt
Filed under: uncultured bacterium
Lineage: Bacteria
Description: partial 16S ribosomal RNA
Rfam family: Bacterial small subunit ribosomal RNA
Source: RNAcentral
CCUACGGGAGGCAGCAGUGGGGGAUAUUGCACAAUGGGGGGAACCCUGAUGCAGCGACGCCGCGUGGGUGAAGAAGCGCCUCGGCGCGUAAAGCCCUGUCUGCAGGGAAGAAAAUGACGGUACCUGAAGCAGAAGCCCCGGCUAACUACGUGCCAGCAGCCGCGGUAAUACGUAGGGGGCAAGCGUUAUCCGGAUUUACUGGGUGUAAAGGGGGCGCAGACGGCGAUGCAAGCCAGGAGUGAAAGCCCGGGGCCCAACCCCGGGACUGCUCUUGGAACUGCGUGGCUGGAGUGCAGGAGGGGCAGGCGGAAUUCCUGGUGUAGCGGUGAAAUGCGUAGAUAUCAGGAGGAACACCGGUGGCGAAGGCGGCCUGCUGGACUGCAACUGACGUUGAGGCCCGAAAGCGUGGGGAGCAAACAGGAUUAGAUACCCCAGUAGUC